This 634-nucleotide ribosomal RNA is filed under the name uncultured bacterium. Its description in RNAcentral is "bacterial SSU rRNA". It matches the Rfam family "Bacterial small subunit ribosomal RNA", at positions 56 to 737 of the family's 1533-position model. The record is from RNAcentral.
UGCAGUCGCACGAGUAGCAAUACUAGUGGCGGACUGGUGAGUAACACGUGGGAAUCUACCUUAAAGUUGGGGAUAACUAUUGGAAACGAUAGCUAAUACCGAAUGUGCCUGAGAAGGUAAAGAAGCAAUUUGCUUUAAGAUGAGCCCGCGGCAGAUUAGUUAGUUGGUGGGGUAAGAGCCUACCAAGACGAAGAUCUGUAGCUGUUUUGAGAGGAAGAUCAGCCACACUGGGACUGAGACACGGCCCAGACUCCUACGGGAGGCAGCAGUGGGGAAUUUUGGACAAUGGAGGAAACUCUGAUCCAGCAAUGCCGCGUGAGUGAAGAAGGCCUUCGGGUUGUAAAGCUCUUUUAACAAUGAAGAUGAUGACUGUAAUUGUAGAAUAAGGUCCGGCAAACUUCGUGCCAGCAGCCGCGGUAAUACGAAGGGAUCUAGCGUUGUUCGGAAUCACUGGGCGUAAAGCGCAAGUAGGUGGUUUGGUAAGUUAGAUGUGAAAUCCUUGGUUUCAAGCCAAGAACUGCAUUUAAUACUGCUAAACUUGAGUACAAUAGGGGAUACUAGAAUUCCAAGUGUAGGGGUAAAAUCCGUAGAUAUUUGGAGGAAUACCAGAAGCGAAGGCGUGUAUCUGGAUUGU